This 269-nucleotide ribosomal RNA is filed under the name uncultured Lactobacillus sp. RNAcentral describes it as "partial 16S ribosomal RNA". It matches the Rfam family "Bacterial small subunit ribosomal RNA", at positions 78 to 339 of the family's 1533-position model. The record is from RNAcentral. Lineage: Bacteria; Bacillati; Bacillota; Bacilli; Lactobacillales; Lactobacillaceae.
UUUCAACAAUGAAGCGAGUGGCGAACUGGUGAGUAACACGUGGGGAAUCUGCCCAGAAGCAGGGGGAUAACACUUGGAAACAAGUGCUAAUACCGCAUAACAACUUAGAUCACAUGAUCUUUGUUUAAAAGAUGGUUUUGCUAUCUCUUCUGGAUGGACCCGCGGCGUAUUAGCUAGUUGGUGAGGUAAUAGCUCACCAAGGCGAUGAUACGUAGCCGACCCUGAGAGGGUAAUCGGCCACAUUGGGACUGAGACACGGCCCAAACUCC